GGUGAAGAUACUUUCCAUGUGCAAAUGUAGUGGUUGCUGUAGUAUGCCAUGGUUCAAGUGCACCCCUCAUCUUCUCUAGCAGAAGAAGUAAAAGCAGAACGAUGUUUUUAAGUUCUUUCUGGGAUGCUUGGUGACCUUUUGAAGGUGGAUUUUGCGAUAAUUGAUGCAAUAUUAUCGAAGGUUAUUGGUGGUUCAGUUCUGUUGCUAAGCUGCUUUGGACACAACUCCAUUAUUUUGUCGUCGUUGUGUAUAUGCAUGCUGAUCUAUUUAAAUGGGUAUGUCUUCUUGCACGCUGAACUUGAAAUCUGCUGUUUUGACCCAAGUUGCUAUUUGGAUUAUGUUCUUGCCUAAUAAAAUGCGUCCGAGUUGCUUUACAUUGCUUCUGAUUCCAAUGUUUUCAAGUAGAGCGGAUAUAUGUUGUGCUCGUGUGUAUAGGAUAUGUUUCAGGUAUUUUAUCGCAUCAUGGAGGAAGAUUUGCCUACAGCCAAGAGAAAUGGUUUAGCCGUUUUCUCUUUAGCGUUUUCCUUUUCUGUUUUCACUCUGUAUUGCAAAGAUUGUACUGUGGAUUCUUAUA
Molecule: long non-coding RNA, 574 nt
Organism: Arachis ipaensis
Lineage: Eukaryota; Viridiplantae; Streptophyta; Magnoliopsida; Fabales; Fabaceae
Source: RefSeq, a predicted model, not a curated record